Long non-coding RNA from Fundulus heteroclitus (mummichog), 184 nucleotides. RefSeq lists it as uncharacterized. The transcript is spliced from 2 exons. The record is from RefSeq and is a predicted model, not a curated record. NCBI's taxonomy places the organism in Eukaryota, Metazoa, Chordata, Actinopteri, Cyprinodontiformes, Fundulidae.
CUCUGCUGGACUGGAGAGUCCAAACUGCAGACUGGAAACUCUCAGCUUGUCAGGCUGUCUGGUCUCAGAGGAAGGCUGUGCUUCUCUGGUAUCAGCUCUGACCUCCAACCCCUCGCAUCUGAAAGAGUUGGACCUGAGCUACAAUCAUCCAGGAGACUCAGGAGUGAAGCUGCUGUCAUCUGGA